This 400-nucleotide ribosomal RNA is filed under the name uncultured bacterium. Its description in RNAcentral is "bacterial SSU rRNA". It matches the Rfam family "Bacterial small subunit ribosomal RNA", at positions 355 to 779 of the family's 1533-position model. The record is from RNAcentral.
UUAGGAAUUUUGCGCAAUGGACGAAAGUCUGACGCAGCGACACCGCGUGGAGGAUGACGGCCUUCGGGUUGUAAACUCCUUUUGACUCCUCAUGAAGGGGAGUAGAAUAAGCAGCUACUAACUACGUGCCAGCAGUCGCGGUAAUACGUAGGCUGCAAGCGUUACCCGGAUUUACUGGGCGUAAAGCGUCUGUAGGUGGUUUGAAAAGUCUUGUUUCAAAGACCCCGACUUAAUCGGGGAAAGGGGCAAGAUACUGUCAAGCUAGAGUUAUUUAGAGGUUACUGGAAUUUGUAGUGUAGGGGUAAAAUCCGUGGAUACUACAAAGAACACCGAUGGCGAAGGCAGGUAACCAGAAAUAUACUGACACUGAGAGACUAAAGCUAGGGUAGCAAAUCAGAUU